Molecule: non-coding RNA, 115 nt
Organism: Cinara cedri
Lineage: Eukaryota; Metazoa; Arthropoda; Insecta; Hemiptera; Aphididae
Source: the annotation of a GenBank genome assembly
GCCAACGAUCAUACCAAGUUGAAUCCAGUUCUCGUCCGAUCAUUGAAAUUAGCAACGUCGGGCGUAGUUAGUACUUGAAUGGGUGACCGUUUAGGGACGCUACGCGCCGUUGGCU